GGCAAAUUAGUUCAAUAGUUAGAACAUUGGUCUCAUAAGCCAAAGACGUCGGAGCAUAACCGACAUUUGCCAC
This 73-nucleotide transfer RNA is filed under the name Tupanvirus deep ocean. Its description in RNAcentral is "tRNA-Met". It matches the Rfam family "tRNA". From Rfam's summary of the family: Transfer RNA (tRNA) molecules are approximately 80 nucleotides in length. Their secondary structure includes four short double-helical elements and three loops (D, anti-codon, and T loops). Further hydrogen bonds mediate the characteristic L-shaped molecular structure. tRNAs have two regions of fundamental functional importance: the anti-codon, which is responsible for specific mRNA codon recognition, and the 3' end, to which the tRNAs corresponding amino acid is attached (by aminoacyl-tRNA synthetases). tRNAs cope with the degeneracy of the genetic code in two manners: having more than one tRNA (with a specific anti-codon) for a particular amino acid; and 'wobble' base-pairing, i.e. permitting non-standard base-pairing at the 3rd anti-codon position. Lineage: Varidnaviria; Bamfordvirae; Nucleocytoviricota; Megaviricetes; Imitervirales; Mimiviridae. The record is from RNAcentral. RNAcentral also lists the same sequence under 1 other name.